RNAcentral lists this unclassified non-coding RNA (380 nucleotides) under Hevea brasiliensis (rubber tree). Lineage: Eukaryota; Viridiplantae; Streptophyta; Magnoliopsida; Malpighiales; Euphorbiaceae. The record is from RNAcentral.
AGAAUACCAUGCAUUUAGCACUUCCGAUAGAUCCGUCUCCAAGCCGCCAGUUUUCUCUGCAGCAACAGGGUUCAUCAUCUCUAUUUGUUUUCCUUCCUUUGCAAAUGAAUUCAGUGAAGCCGUGUUAGAAGCUUGCUUUAAAGAGGAGAGUGCUUUUUCUGCAGCUUCUUUUGCUGUAUCAACCAAACUAGGGUUUUGAGGAGAUGAUUUUUUUUCUUGAACACAUCGUAUAGACGCAUCGCAUGGUUUGUCAUCCUCAUUUACACCCAAACAACAAGGUGAUGCAGUGCAAGGAGAUACCCAACUUUGGCAUCCAUAUGGGCAGUAGAAAGAAGACUCUGUUGGAUUUAAAUUAUGUGAUGCAUAAGCUUGAUGUUCUU